Molecule: ribosomal RNA, 348 nt
Filed under: uncultured eukaryote
Lineage: Eukaryota
Description: SSU rRNA
Rfam family: Eukaryotic small subunit ribosomal RNA
Source: RNAcentral
CGAUAACGAACGAGACCUUAACCUGCUAAAUAGCCCGUACUGCUUUGGCAGUUCGCUGGCUUCUUAGAGGGACUAUCGGCUCAAGCCGAUGGAAGUUUGAGGCAAUAACAGGUCUGUGAUGCCCUUAGAUGUCCUGGGCCGCACGCGCGUUACACUGACAGGGCCAGCGAGUACCUCCUUGGCCGAAAGGCCCGGGUAAUCUUGUUAAACCCUGUCGUGCUGGGGAUAGAGCAUUGCAAUUAUUGCUCUUCAACGAGGAAUCCCUAGUAAGCGCAAGUCAUCAGCUUGCGUUGAUUACGUCCCUGCCCUUUGUACACACCGCCCGUCGCUACUACCGAUUGAAUGGCU